UACGUAGGUGGCGAGCGUUGUUCGGAUUUAUUGGGCGUAAAGGGUCUGUAGGAGGUUCGUUAAAUGCGGGGUGAAAUCCGGGGGCUCAACUCCCGAACUGCCCUGUAGACUGAUGGACUAGGGUACUGGAGAGGUAAGCGGAAUACCAAGUGUAGCGGUGGAAUGCGUAGAUAUUUGGUAGAACACCGAGAGCGAAGGCAGCUUACUGGACUUUGACCGACUCUGAAAGACGAAAGCGUGGGGAGCAAAC
RNAcentral lists this ribosomal RNA (250 nucleotides) under uncultured prokaryote. Its description in RNAcentral is "partial 16S ribosomal RNA". It matches the Rfam family "Bacterial small subunit ribosomal RNA", at positions 524 to 773 of the family's 1533-position model. The record is from RNAcentral.